This 253-nucleotide ribosomal RNA is filed under the name uncultured bacterium. RNAcentral describes it as "partial 16S ribosomal RNA". It matches the Rfam family "Bacterial small subunit ribosomal RNA", at positions 524 to 776 of the family's 1533-position model. The record is from RNAcentral.
GACGAACCGUGCAAACGUUAUUCGGAAUCACUGGGCAUAAAGGGCGCGUAGGCGGCUUUCUAAGUCAGGGGUGAAAUCCGGCAGCUCAACUGUCGCAGUGCCUUUGAUACUGGAGAGCUCGAGGGAGGUAGGGGUCUGUGGAACUUCCGGUGGAGCGGUGAAAUGCGUUGAUAUCGGAAGGAACGCCGGUGGCGAAAGCGACGGACUGGAUCUCUUCUGAUGCUGAGGCGCGAAAGCCAGGGGAGCAAACGGG